AUUGAACGCUGGCGGCAGGCCUAACACAUGCAAGUCGAACGGUAGCACAGGAGAGCUUGCUCUCCGGGUGACGAGUGGCGGACGGGUGAGUAAUGUCUGGGGAUCUGCCCGAUGGAGGGGGAUAACUACUGGAAACGGUAGCUAAUACCGCAUAACGUCGCGAGACCAAAGUGGGGGACCUUCGGGCCUCACACCAUCGGAUGAACCCAGAUGGGAUUAGCUAGUAGGUGGGGUAAUGGCUCACCUAGGCGACGAUCCCUAGCUGGUCUGAGAGGAUGACCAGCCACACUGGAACUGAGACACGGUCCAGACUCCUACGGGAGGCAGCAGUGGGGAAUAUUGCACAAUGGGCGCAAGCCUGAUGCAGCCAUGCCGCGUGUAUGAAGAAGGCCUUCGGGUUGUAAAGUACUUUCAGCGGGGAGGAAGGGAUGAUGUUUAAUACGCAUCGUCAUUGACGUUACCCGCAGAAGAAGCACCGGCUAACUCCGUGCCAGCAGCCGCGGUAAAAC
Molecule: ribosomal RNA, 509 nt
Filed under: uncultured bacterium
Lineage: Bacteria
Description: bacterial SSU rRNA
Rfam family: Bacterial small subunit ribosomal RNA
Source: RNAcentral